UCGUUGUCCGGAAUGAUUGGGCGUAAAGCGCGCGCAGGCGGCUUCUUAAGUCUGAUGUGAAAGCCCACGGCUCAACCGUGGAGGGUCAUUGGAAACUGGGGAGCUUGAGUACAGGAGAGGAGAGUGGAAUUCCACGUGUAGCGGUGAAAUGCGUAGAGAUGUGGAGGAACACCAGUGGCGAAGGCGGCUCUCUGGCCUGAGACUGACGCUGAGGCGCGAAAGCGUGGGGAGCGAACAGGAUUAGAUACCCUGGUAGUCCACGCCGUAAACGAUGAGUGCUAGGUGUUAGGGGGGACCACCCCUUAGUGCUGAAGUGAACACAUUAAGCACUCCGCCUGGGGAGUACGACCGCAAGGUUGAAACUCAAAGGAAUUGACGGGGGCCCGCACAAGCAGAGGAGCAUGUGGUUUAAUUCGAAGCAACGCGAAGAACCUUACCAGGUCUUGACAUCCUCUGCGAACCUCAGAGAUGAGGUGUUCCCCUUCGGGGGACAGAGAGACAGGUGGUGCAUGGUUGUCGUCAGCUCGUGUCGUGAGAUGUUGGGUUAAGUCCCGCAACGAGCGCAACCCUUGACCUUUGUUGCCAGCAUUCAGUUGGGCACUCAAAGGUGACUGCCGGUGACAAACCGGAGGAAGGUGGGGAUGACGUCAAAUCAUCAUGCCCCUUAUGACCUGGGCAACACACGUGCUACAAUGGGCGGUACAACGGGUAGCGAAGCCGCGAGGUGAAGCCAAUCCCAAAAAGCCGCUCUCAGUUCGGAUUGCAGGCUGCAACCCGCCUGCAUGAAGCCGGAAUUGCUAGUAA
RNAcentral lists this ribosomal RNA (804 nucleotides) under uncultured bacterium. Its description in RNAcentral is "bacterial SSU rRNA". It matches the Rfam family "Bacterial small subunit ribosomal RNA", at positions 538 to 1341 of the family's 1533-position model. The record is from RNAcentral.